CCUAGCCCACUUAACGGUUUAACCUGAGCUAAUUUAGAGGAUCAAGGAGGCUCAGCUGGCUGAUUCUACUUUAGCAGCCAUCAGGAAGAAUAUAGAAUUGGGGUUAGACCCCAGGUUCUGAGUUUCUGCUAAUGGGUUAAUCAGGCUCCAAGACAUAUUAUGUAUCCCGAGUGACAUUGAUUUAAAAAGAGAUAUCAUAACGGAGGCUCAUAGUUCGAAGUUCACCAUGCAGCUUCGAUUUUGGUAAAAU
This 250-nucleotide long non-coding RNA is filed under the name Carica papaya (papaya). RNAcentral's name for it is "long non-coding RNA (CPAP_LNC015125)". Lineage: Eukaryota; Viridiplantae; Streptophyta; Magnoliopsida; Brassicales; Caricaceae. The record is from RNAcentral.